GAGACCUACGGGACGCAGCAGUGGGGAAUAUUGCACAAUGGGGGAAACCCUGAUGCAGCGACGCCGCGUGAGUGAAGAAGUAAUUCGUUAUGUAAAGCUCUAUCAGCAGGGAAGAAAAUGACGGUACCUGAGUAAGAAGCCCCGGCUAACUACGUGCCAGCAGCCGCGGUAAUACGUAGGGGGCAAGCGUUAUCCGGAUUCACUGGGCGUAAAGGGAGCGCAGGCGGCACGGCAAGCCUGAUGUGAAAACCCGGGGCUCAACCCCGGGACGGCAUUGGAAACUGCCGGGCUGGAGUGUCGGAGGG
Molecule: ribosomal RNA, 305 nt
Filed under: uncultured bacterium
Lineage: Bacteria
Description: bacterial SSU rRNA
Rfam family: Bacterial small subunit ribosomal RNA
Source: RNAcentral